This 407-nucleotide ribosomal RNA is filed under the name uncultured Microbacterium sp. Its description in RNAcentral is "bacterial SSU rRNA". It matches the Rfam family "Bacterial small subunit ribosomal RNA", at positions 353 to 772 of the family's 1533-position model. The record is from RNAcentral. Lineage: Bacteria; Bacillati; Actinomycetota; Actinomycetes; Micrococcales; Microbacteriaceae.
AGUGGGGAAUAUUGCACAAUGGGCGCAAGCCUGAUGCAGCAACGCCGCGUGAGGGACGACGGCCUUCGGGUUGUAAACCUCUUUUAGCAGGGAAGAAGCGAAAGUGACGGUACCUGCAGAAAAAGCACCGGCUAACUACGUGCCAGCAGCCGCGGUAAUACGUAGGGUGCAAGCGUUAUCCGGAAUUAUUGGGCGUAAAGAGCUCGUAGGCGGUUUGUCGCGUCUGCUGUGAAAACUGGGGGCUCAACCCCCAGCCUGCAGUGGGUACGGGCAGACUAGAGUGCGGUAGGGGAGAUUGGAAUUCCUGGUGUAGCGGUGGAAUGCGCAGAUAUCAGGAGGAACACCGAUGGCGAAGGCAGAUCUCUGGGCCGUAACUGACGCUGAGGAGCGAAAGGGUGGGGAGCAAA